UCUAAGUACAUGUGUAAUUAAACACGAAACCGCGUAUGGCUCAUUAUAACAGCUAAAAUUUACUUGAUUUUGACUUUUAUCCUACAUGGAUAACUGUGGUAAUUCUGGAGCUAAUACAUGCAUAAAAGAUGUUUUUGUAAAAAAACAUUGCGUAUAUUAGUAUUAAAACCAAGCAUUCUUCGGGAUGUUUUGUGUUGAAACUGAAUAUAUCUGCUGAUCGUAUGGUCUUGUACCGACGACAUGUCAUUCAAGUGUCUGAUCUAUCAACUUUCUAUAUAAGUAUAUAGUACUUAUAUGGUUUUGACGGAUAACGGGGUAUUAGGGUACGACUCCGGAGAAAAUGCCUGAGAAACGGCGUUUACAUCCAAGGAAGGCAGCAGGCGCGAAAAUUACCCACUCUCAGUACGAGGAGGUAGUGACGAGAAAUGACAAGAUCUAUUCCUUCGGGGAUGGAUCAUUGGAAUGGUUUGAUUUUAAAAUCAUUAAAGAGUAUCAAUGAGAGGGCAAGUCUGGUGCCAG
RNAcentral lists this ribosomal RNA (519 nucleotides) under Nematoda environmental sample. RNAcentral's name for it is "SSU rRNA". It matches the Rfam family "Eukaryotic small subunit ribosomal RNA", at positions 58 to 570 of the family's 1831-position model. Lineage: Eukaryota; Metazoa; Nematoda. The record is from RNAcentral.